AGUUUCUCAGGGUGAUGAGGACGAUCGACGACAGAAUCGUCCACGAAUUAAACACUACGAUUCCAACUGCUUCCUUUGUGGGGAAGAUUGAUGCCAGCCAGACGUGUAAAGAACUGUACCAGUCUUUGAUGGAUGCUCACACCAACAGAGAGAGAAUCAUCAAAAACUGCAUUGCUCAGACUUCCAGCGUAGUGAAAACUCUCAGAGAAGAGAGGGAAAAGGCCCAGGAUGACGCAGCGUUAUUAAAGCAACUCAGGAAAGAGCAGACAAAGGUGAUGAAUGAAAUGUUUGUUCUUGUGCUCUUCAGAGAAGUGCUCUGUCAUGAGCUCAGAUUUAAAGAACCAGGUGGCAGUUGAAAUUGAUGCAGUCGGAGCUGAAUGUGGAAGAAGUGGUAAACGACAGAAGCUGGAAGGUAUUUAAUGAACGUUGCCGAAUUCACUACAAGCCUCCGAAGAGUCAAUGAUGUGGGGUAUUUUCCAUCAAGGUGGUCCAUAACUAUGAGAGCCAAACUGGAAAGAGACCUUGGGUGAGCUGUGUUGUGACCCUCCAGAACCAGUAGAACCCAGUCUUGUUUUGUUUUGGACCUACUUAGCUGAAAUUUCAAGAUUGAAAUGAUUCUCCUGUAAUUAAGAGAAAACAACUCAUCUUUUGUACAAAAUAUGUGAACAAAUGAAUUUUAUAGUAUUAAAAUAAUUUUCAAAUG
RNA transcript from Nestor notabilis (Kea), 703 nucleotides. It is a transcript of the gene named coiled-coil domain containing 58, with no coding region annotated. The record is from RefSeq and is a predicted model, not a curated record. The transcript has 5 exons. NCBI's taxonomy places the organism in Eukaryota, Metazoa, Chordata, Aves, Psittaciformes, Psittacidae.